RNAcentral lists this transfer RNA (50 nucleotides) under Peripatoides sp. DVL-2010. RNAcentral describes it as "tRNA-Leu". The record is from RNAcentral. Lineage: Eukaryota; Metazoa; Onychophora; Udeonychophora; Euonychophora; Peripatopsidae.
UAAAUAAUGACAGAUAAUGUAUUGAAUUUAGGAUUCAAUUAUAUGGAAUU